RNAcentral lists this ribosomal RNA (422 nucleotides) under Haemaphysalis juxtakochi. Its description in RNAcentral is "partial large subunit ribosomal RNA". The record is from RNAcentral. Lineage: Eukaryota; Metazoa; Arthropoda; Arachnida; Ixodida; Ixodidae.
UUUAAAUUGCUGUAGUAUUUUGACUAUACAAAGGUAUUGUAAUAAGACUUUAAUUGAGUGCUAAAAGAAUGGACUUUCAAAAAAAUACUUUCUUGAAUUUAAUAAUUGAAUUUAUUUUUAUUUGUGAAGAAACAAUAAUUAGCAUUAAGGACAAGAAGACCCUAAGAAUUUUUGAAUUUAAAUAAAAAGAUCUUUUUAUUUAAAUUCUUAAUUGGGGCGAUUAAAAAAUAUUUUUAACUUUUUUAGGAAAAAAAUGACCCAUUAAUAGUGAUUUAUUGAAUUAAAUACUCUAGGGAUAACAGCGUAAUAAUUUUAGAUAGAUCGUAUAGAAAAAAUAGUUUGCGACCUCGAUGUUGGAUUAGGAUUUCUAUUUAAUGCAGAAGUUAAAAAUAGAAAGUUUGUUCAACUUUUAAAAUCCUACU